Transfer RNA from Trichosporon asahii var. asahii CBS 8904, 106 nucleotides. It matches the Rfam family "tRNA". From Rfam's summary of the family: Transfer RNA (tRNA) molecules are approximately 80 nucleotides in length. NCBI's taxonomy places the organism in Eukaryota, Fungi, Basidiomycota, Tremellomycetes, Trichosporonales, Trichosporonaceae. The record is from Rfam.
GGUCGCGUGGCCCAAUGGCAAGGCGUCUGACUACGACUCAAGGCCCUCACGGAUCCAACUGAGUGUACCUAUCAGGAGAUUGCGGGUUCGAUCCCCGUCGUGACCU